RNAcentral lists this unclassified non-coding RNA (263 nucleotides) under soil metagenome. RNAcentral's name for it is "partial contains small subunit ribosomal RNA, internal transcribed spacer 1, and 5.8S ribosomal RNA". The record is from RNAcentral.
UUUCCGUAGGUGAACCUGCGGAAGGAUCAUUACCGAACCGUCAAACACGGGUUGUUGCUGGCCCCCCGAACGGGGCGUGUGCACGCUCUGUUUACGCAUCCACUCACACCUGUGCACCCUCUGUAGUUCUGUGGUUCGGAAGACCCCGUCUUCCUUCCGUAGCUCUACGUCUUUACACACACGCCGUAGCGACGUCUCAUGGAAUGUUUUUAUGCGUUUAACGCGAUACAAUACAACUUUCAGCAACGGAUCUCUUGGCUCUC